This 348-nucleotide unclassified non-coding RNA is filed under the name soil metagenome. RNAcentral describes it as "partial contains 5.8S ribosomal RNA, internal transcribed spacer 2, and large subunit ribosomal RNA". The stretch from base 1 to 120 matches the Rfam family "5.8S ribosomal RNA", at positions 35 to 154 of the family's 154-position model. The record is from RNAcentral.
GAUGAAGAACGUAGCGAAAUGCGAUAAGUAAUGUGAAUUGCAGAAUUCAGUGAAUCAUCGAAUCUUUGAACGCACAUUGCGCCCGCCAGUAUUCUGGCGGGCAUGCCUGUCUGAGCGUCAUUUCAACCCUCAUGCCCCUAGGGCGUGGUGUUGGGGAUCGGCCAAAGCCCGCGAGGGACGGCCGGCCCCUAAAUCUAGUGGCGGACCCGUCGUGGCCUCCUCUGCGAAGUAGUGAUAUUCCGCAUCGGAGAGCGACGAGCCCCUGCCGUUAAACCCCCAACUUUCCAAGGUUGACCUCAGAUCAGGUAGGAAUACCCGCUGAACUUAAGCAUAUCAAUAAGCGGAAGA